Long non-coding RNA from Zingiber officinale, 783 nucleotides. RefSeq lists it as uncharacterized. The record is from RefSeq and is a predicted model, not a curated record. NCBI's taxonomy places the organism in Eukaryota, Viridiplantae, Streptophyta, Magnoliopsida, Zingiberales, Zingiberaceae. The transcript has 3 exons.
UUCCUUCCUCUCCCUCUCCCUCACGCGGCAUAGAGCGCCGACCCUCGCUUCAUCUUCCCCUUCUUCUCCUCUUCGACUCCAUUGCCCGACGCCAUGCCAUCUCGACGCCAGCCGCUAGCCUCUCCCCAUCAGCGUCGAUCGUUAGCCACUGAUCAUCGACAUCUCCUCUCCUCUUUCCCCUUCCGAUCUCUCCUCUCCCGAUCCCAUCACUGUCACCUCGAUUCGCCGACUUCUCUUCUUCCUCAUCGCGAUCGCCACCCCAUCGCUCGGUCGUCAGCCCUCUUCCUCUGUGUGAGGCUAGGAUAAUGACACACCAAUCAUGGGAGAGUCGCUGACACUCUCCCUCUCGUGGGAUUCCUUUUUCCCCCCAGUAGAGGUUGCCGGUUUGCUUAGGGCUGGAGUGGAGAUGUCGCCGGUCGGGUGAGAGCGGUGAUCCCUUGCUGUGCCCUAGCCCUAGAUCCACAGCCGAGCUUCUCUUCUUCUCUUCAGCUAUGCCUAAGUCAACCAGCGUCGGCUGUGAAUGUGGGAAGAAGACAACCGACAAGAGAAGAAUACCUCCCUUCAUGGUAGCCUUGGAUCCUUCAUUGUGGGGCUUCUGAUAUGAAUUUGGGGUAGUCAUGUGGAGAUCAGCGACUUCACUUUGCUUCGACCACUGCUUUCGAAAACAACCUCCUCCAACAGCAGGUGAAGGGACUGUGCAACGGAUUUAUGACUUGGGUUCGAGGCGAGCGUCUCAAUGUGGGGGUUGUAUUUGGCACGAUCUACAUUUAAGGCGGGUACUUC